UACGUAGGGGCAAGCGUUAUCCGGAUUUACUGGGUGUAAAGGGAGCGCAGACGGAACUGCAAGUCUGAUGUGAAAGCCCGGGGCUCAACCGCGGGACUGCAUUGGAAACUGUAGAUCUGGAGUGCCGGAGGGGCAAGCGGAAUUCCUGGUGUAGCGGUGAAAUGCGUAGAUAUCAGGAGGAACACCGGCGGCGAAGGCGGCUUGCUGGACGGCAACUAACGUUGAGGCUCGAAAGCGUGGGGAGCAAACAGGAUUAGAUACCCUGGUAGU
RNAcentral lists this ribosomal RNA (270 nucleotides) under uncultured prokaryote. RNAcentral describes it as "partial 16S ribosomal RNA". It matches the Rfam family "Bacterial small subunit ribosomal RNA", at positions 524 to 794 of the family's 1533-position model. The record is from RNAcentral.